GCCAGCAGCCAUAGCACCUGCAGUUCAGGCUUGGUAAUCUCCCUGAAGCUAAGCAGGUUUGGGCCUGGCUAGUACUUGGAUGGGAGACCAACUUGGAAAGCUGGGUUGCUGCUGGAA
RNAcentral lists this ribosomal RNA (117 nucleotides) under Paramormyrops kingsleyae. Lineage: Eukaryota; Metazoa; Chordata; Actinopteri; Osteoglossiformes; Mormyridae. The record is from RNAcentral.